This is a long non-coding RNA of Patella vulgata (common limpet), 882 nucleotides long. RefSeq lists it as uncharacterized. The record is from RefSeq and is a predicted model, not a curated record. Lineage: Eukaryota; Metazoa; Mollusca; Gastropoda; Patellidae. The transcript has 3 exons.
AGGUUUCUCAACAGAAGGACCAGUUCCCUACAGUCAUUCAAGCGAAAAUCCGUUGUCAUAAUGGUAUCAAGUGAAGAAACAGCAGCGCCUAUUUUAAUAUUCGCUCAUUGCUGGUUCUCCUACGGUGUCUUUAAAUCUGUCGACAUCUUAGAUACAGCUGGAUCUGAUGAUUUCCCGGUAAUGAGAAAACUGAGAAUAAAACGAGGAGAUGCCUUCGUCAUCGUCUACUCGGUCGAUGACAUGAAUUCAUUCGUCAACAUCAAACGUUAUUACGAACAAAUCAGUCAGGAGAAAGGAACAACAGUAGUGCCAAUCAUUUUAGUGGGAAAUAAAAUGGACACAACCAGCCGCCAAGUUUCAACUGAAAUGGCUACCAGACUCGCCAAGGAGGACCUUAAGUGUUUUUAUCUAGAAACCAGUGCUAAAUGUAACCUGAAUGUUGAAAAUAUGUUCAACAUACUAUUUUUGAAAGCAAUAGUCGCUCCAGUGGAGCUUUCAAAAACCAAACACUCUGGAAAAAGACAAAGGAAACGUUCUUUAAAUUUUUUCAUUAGGCAUAAUUCAAAGAAUGGGCAAUCGCGAAAAACCGAAGAUGUGUCCAAAUCGACCUUAAAUAAGGACAAAGUUCAAACAAGAAGACACUCAAUUCAUACGUUUCUUGACAUUGCAGACACAAAAAACAUCGAAACGAUUCCCAGACGUAUUAGUUUUAACGUCUAAUUGGUGCGAGAACAAUCAGAUCGGCAUUUCGAGAUAUAUUAUAUUAUAUUUGCGCAAGUAUUGUUUACAGACGUUAUAUAUAUAAAAAUAUAUAUUUAUGUCAGUGAGGGAGAACAUACAAGUCAAAUGACUCUAAAAAAAAUAAACAAACAGCAAAUUCUA